This is a long non-coding RNA of Mytilus californianus (California mussel), 688 nucleotides long. RefSeq lists it as uncharacterized. The record is from RefSeq and is a predicted model, not a curated record. NCBI's taxonomy places the organism in Eukaryota, Metazoa, Mollusca, Bivalvia, Mytilida, Mytilidae. The transcript is spliced from 4 exons.
UGUAUACAAGAAAUGUCAGAUGCGUUAAUUAUUAUGUGGUUACUUGACUUAUUUGUUUAUUUAUCAAAUGAGGAUAAAGCACAUAUAUAAAACGUCAUAUUCGUAAAUCAGGAUGUGGUUACUUAACAAAUUUGUUUUGUUUCAACAAGGAUAAAAAAAAACAAUACUUAUAUAAGAAAAACUAUUACAGAGUGGAAAAAUUAUAGAAACCCUCUUCAGUUAAUAGUCACAUACAUAGAGAACGAAAAAAAAGGAAAAUGAAGAUCUUAAUUGUUUGCUUCUUCUUUGGUUUAGAGAUUGCAGGUGUACUGAGUAGAAGAUGUGUUAUUUAUGCAGAGAAUGAAACUAUACCAGCCAUUCCAAAGGGCGCCCAGUUUGGUAGAACAUGUUAUAACGUGAUUAAUGACAAAAAUAGGUACUGCAUUGAAUGGGAUUGUCCUCAAGCUGACUGUUCUAAUCCAAUUAAUCCGAUUAAGGGUUGUCCGUACUGUAAAGGUACAUGUGUAGAUGCUGGUAAAGUGUAUCAAAAAGGUACCUCAUGGAGGUGUGCUGAUGGAUGUAAUAGAUGCAUGUGUAGCACUACGACGAUAUCGACGAUGAUGAUGUGCUAUGACAAAAACCCACCACAGGAGUGCAUGGCAACCAUUGGUUAAUAACAUAAUACCCAAAUAAAAUCCUGUUACUUGUA